This 286-nucleotide unclassified non-coding RNA is filed under the name fungal sp. Its description in RNAcentral is "partial internal transcribed spacer region". The stretch from base 1 to 46 matches the Rfam family "Eukaryotic small subunit ribosomal RNA", at positions 1786 to 1831 of the family's 1831-position model. Lineage: Eukaryota; Fungi. The record is from RNAcentral.
AAGUCGUAACAAGGUAACCGUAGGUGAACCUGCGGUUGGAUCAUUAAUGAAUGAUUAAAGAGUUUAUUCUCUUUAAGCUUUAUAAGUUGGGUAUUAAGUCUUUUAUAGACUUUUUACUCAAUGAACCUUGUGUGAACAUGUUAACUGUCUUUGGUGAGAGUUUUUAUGAUAUUCAUUUAUCAUGGCUCACCAAAAUAUAUGAUUAAACAUUUGUUUUUAUAUAAAAGUCUUGAAUUCAAUAUAUUUAAAUUGAAAACAACUUUUGACAACGGAUCUCUUGGCUCUC